GCAAACUUGGUCAUUUAGAGGAAGUAAAAGUCGUAACAAGGUUUCCGUAGGUGAACCUGCGGAAGGAUCAUUAUUGAAUGAAUUUGGUUGGGCUGUUGCUGGCUUAAUUACAAGCAUGUGCACGCCUCCCAAUUUUUUUCUUUUUAUCACCUGUGCACUUAUUGUAGACUUUUUCUGUUUUGUAAGGGGAGUUGCAAAAAAAAAUCUUUUCUUUUUUUGCUGUCCCUGACCUUUUCAAAAAAUAGAGAAAGUCUAUGUUUUUUUAUAUAAACCCCUAUUUGUAUGUCUGUGAUUGUUUUUGGGCUUUAUUUGCCUUUAAUUUAUAUUACAACUUUCAACAACGGAUCUCUUGGCUCUCGCAUCGAUGAAGAACGCAGC
RNAcentral lists this unclassified non-coding RNA (378 nucleotides) under uncultured fungus. RNAcentral's name for it is "partial contains small subunit ribosomal RNA, internal transcribed spacer 1, and 5.8S ribosomal RNA". The stretch from base 1 to 73 matches the Rfam family "Eukaryotic small subunit ribosomal RNA", at positions 1759 to 1831 of the family's 1831-position model. The record is from RNAcentral. Lineage: Eukaryota; Fungi.